AUUGAACGCUGGCGGCAUGCCUUACACAUGCAAGUCGAACGGUAACGGGUCCUUCGGGAUGCCGACGAGUGGCGAACGGGAGAGUAAUAUAUCGGAACGUGCCCAGUAGUGGGGGAUAACUGCUCGAAAGAGCAGCUAAUACCGCAUACGACCUGAGGGUGAAAGGGGGGGAUCGCAAGACCUCUCGCUAUUGGAGCGGCCGAUAUCAGAUUAGCUAGUUGGUGGGGUAAAGGCCUACCAAGGCAACGAUCUGUAGUUGGUCUGAGAGGACGACCAGCCACACUGGGACUGAGACACGGCCCAGACUCCUACGGGAGGCAGCAGUGGGGAAUUUUGGACAAUGGGCGCAAGCCUGAUCCAGCAAUGCCGCGUGCAGGAAGAAGGCCUUCGGGUUGUAAACUGCUUUUGUCAGGGAAGAAAUCUUCUGGGCUAAUACCCCGGGAGGAUGACGGUACCCGGAGAAGAAGCCCCGGCUAACUUCGUGCCAGCCGCCGCCGUAA
This 500-nucleotide ribosomal RNA is filed under the name uncultured bacterium. Its description in RNAcentral is "partial 16S ribosomal RNA". It matches the Rfam family "Bacterial small subunit ribosomal RNA", at positions 30 to 523 of the family's 1533-position model. The record is from RNAcentral.